CACGUAGGGACCAAGCGUUGUCCGGAUUUAUUGGGCGUAAAGAGCUCGUAGGCGGUUCCGUAAGUCGGAUGUGAAAACUCAGGGCUCAACCCUGAGACGCCAUCUGAUACUGCGGUGACUAGAGUCCGGUAGGGGAGCAUGGAAUUCCUGGUGUAGCGGUGGAAUGCGCAGAUAUCAGGAGGAACACCAAUGGCGAAGGCAGUGCUCUGGGCCGGAACUGACGCUGAGGAGCGAAAGCAUGGGGAGCAAACAGG
RNAcentral lists this ribosomal RNA (254 nucleotides) under uncultured bacterium. RNAcentral's name for it is "partial 16S ribosomal RNA". It matches the Rfam family "Bacterial small subunit ribosomal RNA", at positions 524 to 776 of the family's 1533-position model. The record is from RNAcentral.